UGUGUAGGCGGGUGAUUAAGUCAGUGGUGAAAUCCUGCAGCUUAACUGUAGAACUGCCAUUGAAACUGAUCUUCUUGAGUACAGUUGAGGUAGGCGGAAUGUGUAAUGUAGCGGUGAAAUGCUUAGAUAUUACACAGAACACCGAUUGCGUAGGCAGCUUACUAAACUGUUACUGACGCUGAGGCACGAAAGCGUGGGGAGCGAACAGGAUUAGAUACCCUGGUAGUCC
Molecule: ribosomal RNA, 229 nt
Filed under: uncultured bacterium
Lineage: Bacteria
Description: partial 16S ribosomal RNA
Rfam family: Bacterial small subunit ribosomal RNA
Source: RNAcentral